Molecule: non-coding RNA, 300 nt
Organism: Pelobates cultripes (western spadefoot toad)
Lineage: Eukaryota; Metazoa; Chordata; Amphibia; Anura; Pelobatidae
Source: the annotation of a GenBank genome assembly
UAUUUAUCAACAAGUAAUAAGCAAUCGUGCCUGGUAAGACAUGUUCUACUAACUCUUUAAUUUUGUAUCAUUCCCAUUCUGUGAUAUUGAUUUAACGGUUAAACCUUAUCUUAGCGUUGUGUACCAUUAUGUGUUAUUUAGUACCCAUUUGUGAAAUUUGUAAAUAAUACAGAUUUAUCUACGAGCAAUAAACAAUCAUAUCUAGUGAAACUUUUUUUUCUAAAUUGUUUUCUCCUAACUCUCUAUUUUUACAUAAUUCCCCUUCAGUGGUAUUAAUUUUACUAUUAAGCCUUAUCUUAU